Molecule: non-coding RNA, 69 nt
Filed under: unclassified sequences
Also listed under: 1 other name
Description: Cyano-1 RNA
Rfam family: Cyano-1 RNA
Source: RNAcentral
AUUUGUGUGAGGAGUGCUGAACGCCUCUACAGGGUCGAAACAAGGACAGACUCCUGUAUGUGUUCCUCU